Molecule: long non-coding RNA, 485 nt
Organism: Ornithodoros turicata
Lineage: Eukaryota; Metazoa; Arthropoda; Arachnida; Ixodida; Argasidae
Exons: 3
Source: RefSeq, a predicted model, not a curated record
ACUUUUUUCUGAAUCGAAGACACUCUAGUAGGUCGUGGUCGUGGUCGCUACAAAAUGGCUCCUUUCCCAUCUAACCAUCAAGUGUAGUACAGUGCAUCAGUAAUCGUAAUAUCCAUAGUGUCUAUCGAUCUAUAAAUGGGGUAAACGAUGCCAGGGAAUGAUAGCUGCGUAGGAUCGCUCCUGCUUUCAUGUUCGAGCGGAGCGCUUGUUGCUUACACAUUUUGGAUAUUUGGCCUGCCUUUCUUCAACGAGGACCACAUUAUCCACGGCUAUUCACCCUCAAAGUCCUCCGUCAUAAAUGUACCUUUUUUUGGUUUCCUUCUCAUCUUCAUGGUGCUAGGCUGCACAGUGUUGCAUCUCCAGACAAAGCCUCAAGACUUAAAUGGAUUGGACCAACAAAUGCAAUACAACAAGGAGUAUACCCACCGACAACGCAGUACCUGCUCCGAUAAUAGAAAUAAAAUAGAUUAGUUUUUGCAAAUGCA